CGCGUAGGCGGCUAGGCAAGUCAAAGGUGAAAUCCCUCGGCUCAACCGAGGAACUGCCUCUGAUACUGCCUGGCUUGAGUCCCGGAGAGGGUAGUGGAAUUCCCAGUGUAGCGGUGAAAUGCGUAGAUAUUGGGAGGAACACCGGUGGCGAAGGCGGCUACCUGGACGGGUACUGACGCUGAGGCGCGAAAGCGGUGGGGAGCAAACA
This 208-nucleotide ribosomal RNA is filed under the name uncultured bacterium. Its description in RNAcentral is "partial 16S ribosomal RNA". It matches the Rfam family "Bacterial small subunit ribosomal RNA", at positions 568 to 774 of the family's 1533-position model. The record is from RNAcentral.